GCCUUGAUGGUGAAAUGGUAGACACGCGAGACUCAAAAUCUCGUAAAGAGCGUGGAGGUUCGAGUCCUCUUCAAGGCA
Molecule: transfer RNA, 78 nt
Filed under: Bletia warnockii
Lineage: Eukaryota; Viridiplantae; Streptophyta; Magnoliopsida; Asparagales; Orchidaceae
Description: Hexalectris warnockii tRNA-Leu
Rfam family: tRNA
About the family: Transfer RNA (tRNA) molecules are approximately 80 nucleotides in length. Their secondary structure includes four short double-helical elements and three loops (D, anti-codon, and T loops).
Source: RNAcentral